RNA transcript from Cervus elaphus (red deer), 1118 nucleotides. It is a transcript of the gene named zinc finger CCHC-type and RNA-binding motif-containing protein 1-like, with no coding region annotated. The transcript has a single exon. The record is from RefSeq and is a predicted model, not a curated record. Lineage: Eukaryota; Metazoa; Chordata; Mammalia; Artiodactyla; Cervidae.
UCUCGUCUCCUGCACCUGACCCUUCCCAGGACCCGUGAUGCCGAGGCAGCUGCAAGGAGCGACAAACGGUCGGGGUUGAGCCCCAGGUAAGCUGAGGGCUUGCGCUCUUCUGGCCCUAUCCCCCGGGCCCGCCCCACUUGAAGAAAUGAGUGGUGGAUUGGCCCCAAGUAAAAGCACAGUGUAUGUAUCCAAUCUGCCCUUUUCCCUGACCAACAAUGACUUAUAUCGGAUCUUUUCCAAGUAUGGCAAAGUUGUAAAGGUUACUAUAAUGAAAGAUAAAGAUACCAGGAGGAGUAAAGGGGUUGCAUUUAUUUUAUUUUUGGAUAAAGACUCUGCACAAAACUGUACCAGGGCAAUAAACAACAAACAGUUAUUUGGUAGAGUGAUAAAAGCAAGCAUUGCUAUUGACAAUGGAAGAGCAGCUGAGUUCAUCCGAAGACGAAACUGCUUUGAUAAAUCUAAGUGUUAUGAAUGUGGGGAAAGCGGACACUUAAGUUAUGCCUGUCCUAAAAAUAUGCUUGGAGAACGUGAACCUCCAAAGAAGAAAGAGAAAAAGAAAAAAAAAGAAAACUCCUGAGCCAGAAGAAGAAAUUGAAGAAGUAGAAGAAAGUGAAGAUGAAAGGGAAGAUCCUGCUCUUGACAGCCUCAGUCAGGCUAUAGCUUUCCAGCAAGCCAAAACUGAAGAACAAAAAAAAUGGAAACCCAGUUCAGGAGGUCCUUCAACAUCAGAUGAUUCAAAACGCCCAAGGAUAAGGAAAAGCACAUACUUCAGUGAUGAGGAGGAACUUAGUGAUUUAAAAUAUAUAUAUUAUGUAAAUAUCAUUAAAAAAAUUUUUUCAAGUCUUGGAGUACCAAGUUCCCUUGGGAUUAAAAAUUACUUUUAGAGUUUGAACAUAAGAACACUUAGUACCAAAUACUUUUUUACUUUAGAUAGUUGAUAGGAAAUGGUAAUUUUAUAGUAUCAUGUUUAUCUUGCAUCAAGAUUUGCUAAUAAUCAUUAAUCUUUAAAAUAGUUCAUUUGAAUAAAAAAGAAAAUGUAAUACUAUCAUACCAAUGCUAUCCCAAGAAGAAAGUGAAAGUCGCUCGGUCGUGUCCGACUCUUUGUGACCCCGUGGACU